GAUGGCGGCUAGGAAUUGGUAGUUAUCGUCAGUUAGUGUUUUACCUUGGCCAGAUCUGGAUCCAAUUGUUGCUUCACUGUAUUUCCCAGAUGUCUUCAAAUAGGAGAAAUUAUGAAGCGAAUUGGAAGGAGAUAGGAGGUUAAAAUUAAUGAAGAUGGUGUUUCACUGACAAUUGAAGAUCAAUUUCAUGUGUUAUAUGGUUUAAUGGUGUGAAUAAAAUAACAUGUUUUGCACUGUCUACCAUAUUGAGAAAACCAAGAGCAUGAGCCAUCAGCAGACUGUAAUCAUCAUUAAUAAUUGGAUCUACUUGUUUGUGGCCUUGUCAUCAAGGAAUUCUAUUAAGUCAUCAACAAUACCUCAGUAAUAUUAAUAAUACAUAUUUAUUUUUAUUAAUAAUUAAAUUUUAAAUAUUAUUGGUAUGUAUUUUCUCUCUUUUAUAUUUCCUCUCCUUUGUUUCCUUCACCUUUGGAGUAUAAAUUAAAAUUCUCAUGUCGAGAAUACUUCCAGAA
Amphimedon queenslandica is the source of this 509-nucleotide long non-coding RNA. RefSeq lists it as uncharacterized. The transcript has 3 exons. The record is from RefSeq and is a predicted model, not a curated record. NCBI's taxonomy places the organism in Eukaryota, Metazoa, Porifera, Demospongiae, Haplosclerida, Niphatidae.